AAAUAUGAAGUUAAACAAUUAGUUUCGACCUAAUUUUUGAUAUUAAAUUAUCCAUAUUUA
This 60-nucleotide transfer RNA is filed under the name Systropus sp. 2 YXA-2022a. RNAcentral describes it as "tRNA-Arg". The record is from RNAcentral. Lineage: Eukaryota; Metazoa; Arthropoda; Insecta; Diptera; Bombyliidae.